AGAGUUUGAUCAUGGCUCAGAAUCAACGCUGGCGGCGCGCUUAACACAUGCAAGUCGAACGAGAAAGGGGAGCAAUCCCUGAGUACAGUGGCGUACGGGUGAGUAACACGUGGGUAAUCUACACUUGAGUGGGGAAUAACUCUGGGAAACCGGAGCUAAUACCGCAUAAGCCUGAGAAGGGAAAGCCGAAAGGCGCUGAAGGAGGAGCCCGCGGCCGAUUAGCUAGUUGGUGGGGUAAAGGCUCACCAAGGCGAUGAUCGGUAGCCGGCCUGAGAGGGCACACGGCCACACUGGCACUGAGAUACGGGCCAGACUCCUACGGGAGGCAGCAGUGGGGAAUCUUGCACAAUGGAGGAAACUCUGAUGCAGCGACGCCGCGUGAGCGAUGAAGCCCUUCGGGGUGUAAAGCUCUUUCGACGGGAACGAUAAUGACGGUACCCGGAGAAGAAGCUGCGGCUAACUACGUGCCAGCAGCCGCGGUAAUACGUAGGCAGCAAGCGUUGUUCGGAAUUACUGGGCGUAAAGAGUGUGUAGGCGGUGCUCUAAGUUCGGUGUGAAAUCUCCCGGCUUAACUGGGAGGGUGCGCCGGAAACUGGAGUGCUUGAGCGCGGGAGAGGAAAGCGGAAUUCCUGGUGUAGCGGUGAAAUGCGUAGAUAUCAGGAGGAACACCUGUGGUGUAGACGGCUUUCUGGACCGUAGCUGACGCUGAGACACGAAAGCGUGGGUAGCAAACAGGAUUAGAUACCCUAGUAGUCC
Molecule: ribosomal RNA, 756 nt
Filed under: uncultured bacterium
Lineage: Bacteria
Description: bacterial SSU rRNA
Rfam family: Bacterial small subunit ribosomal RNA
Source: RNAcentral